RNAcentral lists this ribosomal RNA (864 nucleotides) under Triticum aestivum (bread wheat). Its description in RNAcentral is "partial small subunit ribosomal RNA". The record is from RNAcentral. Lineage: Eukaryota; Viridiplantae; Streptophyta; Magnoliopsida; Poales; Poaceae.
AUGUCUACCUGCCUCACGGAUAUGAUUUGUGCCAAUGAGGUAGAUUUCGUUGGCCUACAAGAAACUAUGAAGGGAUCUUAUAAACAUUCCCUUUUUAGGAAGAUAGACCCAUAUCAGAGAUUCCAGUGGGAAUGGGUUCCCUCGAGGGGGAAGUCGGGAGGUAUUCUGUGUGGCCUCAAUAAAGACAAAUUUGAUGUUCUCGGCUCUAAGCAGGGCAAAUAUAUCCUGCAAAUAGACUUGUUUGAUAAAAACAAGUGUAGUUGGUCUCUCCUUAUCGUAUAUGGUGCUGCUCACGAUGAGCAUAAGCCUGAAUUCAUCGCAUAAUUAUCUUCCUCGUGUCAUAGUAUCAAUAGGCCAUAUUUGGUGGGGGGGGGGGACUUCAAUAUUAUCCGCCACAAUGGUGAGAAAAACAAAAAAACACCCCUAUCUCAUUUUUCGGAGGUCUUUAACUCUGUUAUCCACUUGCUUGGUUUAAGAGAGAUUCAUAUGACUGGGGGAUGCUAUACGUGGUCCAAUAAGAAGGAAAACCCAACCCUUGAAAAAUUCGAUAGAGUGCUGAUGUCUCCUGAAUGGGAAGAUUUAUUUCCCCUUGUUUCGGUGAGCAACCUGGUGAAAGAAUUAUCAGACCACAAUCCUCUUCUAUUGGAUGGUGGGGUCGCCUCACCUAGAGCACCAGGGAAUAGGUGCUUUAAAUUUGAUAAUGAUUGGCUUAAUAAUCCAGAGUUUCUUCCCUUAGUGGCUGAUAUUUGGUCAAGACCAGUAUAUACUAUUAACCCCAUUGAUAUCCUAAACAUUAAGCUGAAGAGGUGUAAGAAAUUCUUCAAAGGUUUGGGGUCCAAUGUAUUUGGGCAUAAUAAGAUUUAG